CCCCAGACUCCUACGGGAGGCAGCAGUGAGGAAUAUUGGUCAAUGGGCUUACGCCUGAACCAGCCAAGUCGCGUGAGGGAAGACUGCCCUAUGGGUUGUAAACCUCUUUUGUCAGGGAGCAACGCCGGCUACGUGUAGCCGGACUGAGAGUACCUGAAGAAAAAGCAUCGGCUAACUCCGUGCCAGCAGCCGCGGUAAUACGGAGGAUGCGAGCGUUAUCCGGAUUUACUGGGUUUAAAGGGUGCGUAGGGGGUUCGUAAAGAGAGUGGAAAAUUGGGGGGGCCCACCCCCUCCCCGCCAUUGAAACUGGCGCUCUUGGGUGGAAGAGAAGUAUGCGGAAUGCGUGGUGUAGCGGUGAAAUGCAUAGAUAUCACGCAGAACCCCGAUUGCGAAGGCAGCGUACCGGCGCCCAACUGACGCUCAUGCACGAAAGCGUGGGUAUCGAACAGGAUUAGAUACCCUAGUA
Molecule: ribosomal RNA, 466 nt
Filed under: uncultured bacterium
Lineage: Bacteria
Description: bacterial SSU rRNA
Rfam family: Bacterial small subunit ribosomal RNA
Source: RNAcentral